GGCUGCUGAUCUCCUGCGCCCCAGUAGAAGAGACUGCGGCUCCCACCACCCCACCUUCUCCAUCAUCAACACCAUCACCAUCCUCAAGUGCACUACAAAAAUCUCCUCCUCCCACAGCUGUUACUCCAUUGGUAACUGACGACAAUGUCACCACCAUCGACUCCCAGACUGCACCUGUCUCUGUUACUGAAGAUACCACAAGAAGCAACACAAUAGUGGAGCACAUCGUCUCUGAAGACACACCUGAACAGGGGAUGGAGGAAUCCUCAACAGCAACACCAACCACAUAUAUCCAGUCCUUAUCUACCCAACCUGACCCGUCAACUGUUGAUGUCACCACUACAAACUCAGCUCAGUCCACCAGUGAUGCUGAGGUCAGCUCUACUGUUUCUACUCAAUCCACUCAGCACGUGAAAGACAGGAUGGGAGAAAGCAGCAACACCAGCACUGUUGUCGACCCAGCUUCAUCACCAGUGGGCAACUCCUCAAUGAGUUCUUCUUCCAUAUCCCAGUCCAACACAGUCCAGCACUCAUACUCAACUUCAGAAGCUCACCCAACACCUGUGACCCAGACUCCAGCAGCCUACCAUUACAACCAGCACUGCUUGCAGCAGCAUCAACAGCAGUUAUUUGAAUAAGGAGAAAGACAGAUACUCCUCAGGGCUGCUGAUCUCCUGCGCCCCAGUAGAAGAGACUGCAGCUCCCACCACCCCACCUUCUCCAUCAUCAACACCAUCACCAUCCUCAAGUGCACUACAAAAAUCUCCUCCUCCCACAGCUGUUACUCCAUUGGUAACUGACGACAAUGUCACCACCAUCGACUCCCAGACUGCACCUGUCUCUGUUACUGAAGAUACCACAAGAAGCAACACAAUAGUGGAGCACAUUGUCUCUGAAGACACACCUGAACAGGGGAUGGAGGAAUCCUCAACAGCAACACCAACCACAUAUAUCCAGUCCUUAUCUACCCAACCUGACCCGUCAACUGUUGAUGUCACCACUACAAACUCAGCUCAGUCCACCAGUGAUGCUGAGGUCAGCUCUACUGUUUCUACUCAAUCCACUCAGCACGUGAAAGACAGGAUGGGAGAAAGCAGCAACACCAGCACUGUUGUCGACCCAGCUUCAUCACCAGUGGGCAACUCCUCAAUGAGUUCUUCUUCCAUAUCCCAGUCCAACACAGUCCAGCACUCAUACUCAACUUCAGAAGCUCACCCAACACCUGUGACCCAGACUCCAGCAGCCACCAUUACAACCAGCACUGCUUGCAGCAGCAUCAACAGCAGUUCUUUGAAUAAGGAGAAAGACAGAUACUCCUCAGGGCUGCUGAUCUCCUGCGCCCCAGUAGAAGAGACUGCAGCUCCCACCACCCCACCUUCUCCAUCAUCAACACCAUCACCAUCCUCAAGUGCACUACAAAAAUCUCCUCCUCCCACAGCUGUUACUCCAUUGGUAACUGACGACAAUGUCACCACCAUCGACUCCCAGACUGCACCUGUCUCUGUUACUGAAGAUACCACAAGAAGCAACACAAUAGUGGAGCACAUUGUCUCUGAAGACACACCUGAACAGGGGAUGGAGGAAUCCUCAACAGCAACACCAACCACAUAUAUCCAGUCCUUAUCUACCCAACCUGACCCGUCAACUGUUGAUGUCACCACUACAAACUCAGCUCAGUCCACCAGUGAUGCUGAGGUCAGCUCUACUGUUUCUACUCAAUCCACUCAGCACGUGAAAGACAGGAUGGGAGAAAGCAGCAACACCAGCACUGUUGUCGACCCAGCUUCAUCACCAGUGGGCAACUCCUCAAUGAGUUCUUCUUCCAUAUCCCAGUCCAACACAGUCCAGCACUCAUACUCAACUUCAGAAGCUCACCCAACACCUGUGACCCAGACUCCAGCAGCCACCAUUACAACCAGCACUGCUUGCAGCAGCAUCAACAGCAGUUCUUUGAAUAAGGAGAAAGACAGAUACUCCUCAGGGCUGCUGAUCUCCUGCGCCCCAGUAGAAGAGACUGCAGCUCCCACCACCCCACCUUCUCCAUCAUCAACACCAUCACCAUCCUCAAGUGCACUACAAAAAUCUCCUCCUCCCACAGCUGUUACUCCAUUGGUAACUGACGACAAUGUCACCACCAUCGACUCCCAGACUGCACCUGUCUCUGUUACUGAAGAUACCACAAGAAGCAACACAAUAGUGGAGCACAUUGUCUCUGAAGACACACCUGAACAGGGGAUGGAGGAAUCCUCAACAGCAACACCAACCACAUAUAUCCAGUCCUUAUCUACCCAACCUGACCCGUCAACUGUUGAUGUCACCACUACAAACUCAGCUCAGUCCACCAGUGAUGCUGAGGUCAGCUCUACUGUUUCUACUCAAUCCACUCAGCACGUGAAAGACAGGAUGGGAGAAAGCAGCAACACCAGCACUGUUGUCGACCCAGCUUCAUCACCAGUGGGCAACUCCUCAAUGAGUUCUUCUUCCAUAUCCCAGUCCAACACAGUCCAGCACUCAUACUCAACUUCAGAAGCUCACCCAACACCUGUGACCCAGACUCCAGCAGCCACCAUUACAACCAGCACUGCUUGCAGCAGCAUCAACAGCAGUUCUUUGAAUAAGGAGAAAGACAGAUACUCCUCAGGUCUAUUGUUGUGCGUUGUAGCAACAGCACAACUCUCUCAAACAGCUGCACUGAACCCUACCAUCAACUCAACUUCAAAUUCAACUUUCUCCCCAACGACAGCCAGCACUAAAGAAAACCUCACUGCAGACUUGACAUCAAAACCCACGUCUUCCUCAAUACCAUCUACAUCAGCUGACCCCCAGGACUCUAGCCCCAGCAUCAGCAGCCCCACUACCAACAUCAGCAGCCCCACUACCAGCAUCAGCAGCCCCACUACCAGCAUCAGCAGCCCCACUACCACCAUCAGCAGCCCCACUACCAGCAUCAGCAUCCCCAGCACUACACAAACAACCACCACCCAAACCACCAGCACAACCAGUAAUAACAGCACCAUCAUCUGGCCGAGCACCAUCCCAGGCACCAAACAAACCACCAAUAUACCGAGUACCAACAGAACCACCAUCAGCACCGACACCCAAACCAGCACACUGGCACAGGAAGCACACGAGUCCAAGGCUCUGAACUCAGGAAGCAUUGCAGUCAUUCUCUGUGUGUCCAUUGUAAUUGUCACCCUAGUGGUGAUUGUGCUGUACUACAGGGUCCGACGUAGAUCCUACGGCCAACUGGCCAAGAAUGAACAUGGUACUUUGACAAACUUCAGCAACCCUAUGUAUGACGUUUGAAUCUUAAGUUCUGACCUCCGACUCCGGAAGGGACCCCCUAACCUCAAAGUCCUCUGUCUGUUCAGAGUGUAUUUAUAGUGUGUGUAUUGAGUUCAGGAUGGUCACAAUAUAUAUAUAGCUGACAUGCUGCCUGGUCGCUUGAUUGCAAAAUGCAUAAAGAAAACUAAUUUGGACAUUUCUAUUGAUCUUUGUUGAAAUAGCUUAAUUUGUUUGUUGCUUGGUACAGUAAGAAGGACAUACAAUUGCAGAUUUUACUAAGGAAGUUUUUCAAACAGCGCUGGCUGCAUAUUCACGGCGCAUAAUCAUAUUACCACAACUGAAUACAAGCGUGUUCAUUGGCGGUGUUAUGUAGGAUUCUCAGGAUACUUGUAAAAGAAAAAGGUUUUGUCUGACAUCAAGGAAUAGAAAAACAAGUGGAUUUUGUAAACUCAACCGGGAUGUUUUUAAAGUAAAAAGAAAUACUCUAUGCAAGUGUAAAAUAAUAGCUUAAGGCAGUAUUAAGUAGUGAUAAUAGAUGAGGAAGAUCUGACAGUGACAAUUGUUCACUGUCAGGGAACAGAAAUAGAAACAUAGUAUUAUUACAAAAAAACAGGGCCACCACAAUGUGUGAUUUACGAAGUUAAGAAAGGCUCGGACUUCUGCGAGAAUAUGAAUGAAGUCAUGACAUACAAUGUUUAUUUUAUCAUAGAUUGUUCUUAUAAGCACCUACUGAGAUACUUUGUUCUUACCUAAACUGUGAAAGGAUGAGAUUUCCAUUGCAAAAGGCAAUAAAUGUUCAGAUUGUCAUAUAGACAUAGUUCAAAGCUUUUAUAUACACUUUCAGAUUCUGUAGAUUAGGAGGAGAGGAAGAUUUAGCCAUUUCUAUUCGGAGGAAAUGGUUAUUCUGAGAAAGGCGCUGAAAAGGAUGGUGACACAUAACUGUCUUAACAUCGAGGAUGAAAAUAAGAAUAGAAUAGAAAGACAUUCUUAAGACGAAUGAAAAAAAAGAAAGGAAAUGAAGAAAAAACCACCUGAUGGCAUCGUAUCAUCAGGUAUCGUAUCCUAUCACGACACUUUUAGGCAACACAAAGGGUUAGCGUUAGCAGCUACGUGACAAUUUAGGAGAAGGUUCAUUUGAGGGAAAUGUUUGAGGUUUCAUUCAUUCAUUUUCAAAUGACAUGUGUAAAAGCCUGGUUUUCCAUCUAAGUAUUUACAUAACAUGCAGUCCUUUAAAAUUAAUAUGGAUUGUUUUCAUAUUACAAAGUGAAUGGAGCAGAGGCAGAGAGAAACCUUUGAAAGGACAAUCCCAGGUUCAAGCCCCUUGUACUCAUCCUGCUGAAGUGUCCUUGAGCAAAACAGUGAAUCCCCUCCAGCUGUUCAGCUGAACCUGAACUUUGACUUUUCUGUGGAGGAACCAACAAAUACAUCAAUCAUGUUAGAAUGGAGAGCAGGAUCUAAUAUAAAUCUGAAUUUACAUUAAAUGUGGCCUUAAUAUGUUUCAGUGUGAUUUUGCUUUUUUUUUAGCAGCUUAGGCAAGUUGCAUUUGUGAUAUCUUGAAUAUUUGAUACAUAUUUGUUAUUGUUUGCAGGUGAAAAAUAAUGUGACAUUGUAUUGUGUAAUAUGAUUGUAUUUAAUUGUGUGUGCAAUAAAGUGAUAAAGGAA
Molecule: long non-coding RNA, 4947 nt
Organism: Cottoperca gobio
Lineage: Eukaryota; Metazoa; Chordata; Actinopteri; Perciformes; Bovichtidae
Product: flocculation protein FLO11-like
Source: Ensembl